CAAUGCGUAACCUGACAUUUCAUCUUCAGACGACCAGCAGGUGGGGCAUGUUUGAUGUGCAUCGAACAACAUCAUCCUAUACAAACACGAGAGAGAACCAGGCCUGGGCAUAUCGGGAAACCAGGGGCUCGUCCAGUUUCCCCCUAGUCGUUAGCUCGCGACACGCUGGAGGGGAUGAUAAGAAGAACGCAAGCGCGAACCUAUCGACCAGCUAACCCUCCGGGUAACACCCUUGCGAUCCUCAGCCGAAGCUCACUGCUUCUCCGGCGAACUAGUGGGUAGUACACGCACGCGACACAGAUUUCAACUUGGAUUGUUUAGUUUCUCCUUCCUCACCUCUCUUAUUUCAUCCUUUCCUUUUGGAUUACCUUACGUUGAAGUGUUAUUUCACAACUUGGGAAAAAAAAGGGCACAACAAAGAGACGAAUCGAUAGUGAACGUCGUCGAGCAAGCCACAAAGCCCAAGACACGAAAUCUCCGCCUCCAUCUCCCGUUCCUAAGCCGCUCGAAGAAGACGAAGAUCGUCGCAUACGGUGACCAUCCGACCACCAAAAGCCACCGGAAUUCUGCGGUUUUGGUCAGGAGGACGAGGUCGGUGUUAAACCAGCAAGAUUACCGGCCGCGGCGGUUGCGCCAAAUACUGUGGUACAGCCCCUUCACCCGGCAACAUUUCAUUCUCCAGCUUUCGACAGUCCUUCACUUCCAAUGUUAACUACCUGAAACGGAG
This 727-nucleotide unclassified non-coding RNA is filed under the name Bombus terrestris (buff-tailed bumblebee). Its description in RNAcentral is "misc RNA ENSBTSG00005037649.1". Lineage: Eukaryota; Metazoa; Arthropoda; Insecta; Hymenoptera; Apidae. The record is from RNAcentral.